RNAcentral lists this ribosomal RNA (49 nucleotides) under Polystigma sp. RNAcentral describes it as "partial 28S ribosomal RNA". Lineage: Eukaryota; Fungi; Ascomycota; Sordariomycetes; Phyllachorales; Phyllachoraceae. The record is from RNAcentral.
GUCGGACCUCGAACUCAUGUAGGAAUACCCGCUGAACUUAAGCAUAUCA